Molecule: ribosomal RNA, 460 nt
Filed under: uncultured bacterium
Lineage: Bacteria
Description: partial 16S ribosomal RNA
Rfam family: Bacterial small subunit ribosomal RNA
Source: RNAcentral
CCUACGGGUGGCAGCAGUGAGGAAUAUUGGUCAAUGGACGAGAGUCUGAACCAGCCAAGUAGCGUGAAGGAUGACUGCCCUAUGGGUUGUAAACUUCUUUUAUAUGGGAAUAAAAUGUUCCACGUGUGGGAUUUUGUAUGUACCAUAUGAAUAAGGAUCGGCUAACUCCGUGCCAGCAGCCGCGGUAAUACGGAGGAUCCGAGCGUUAUCCGGAUUUAUUGGGUUUAAAGGGAGCUUAGGUGGAUUGUUAAGUCAGUUGUGAAAGUUUGCGGCUCAACCGUAAAAUUACAGUUGAAACUGGCAGUCUUGAGUACAGUAGAGGUGGGCUGAAUUCGUGGUGUAGCGGUGAAAUGCUUAGAUAUCACGAAGAACUCCGAUUGCGAAGGCAGUUCACUGGACUGCAACUGACACUGAGGCUCGAAAGUGUGGGUAUCAAACAGGAGUAGAUACCCCAGUAGUC